RNAcentral lists this ribosomal RNA (380 nucleotides) under uncultured eukaryote. RNAcentral's name for it is "partial 18S ribosomal RNA". It matches the Rfam family "Eukaryotic small subunit ribosomal RNA", at positions 592 to 976 of the family's 1831-position model. The record is from RNAcentral.
CAAUAGCGUAUAUUAAAGUUGUUGCAGUUAGAACGCUCGUAGUCGGAUUUCGGGGCGGGCCGACCGGUCUGCCGAUGGGUACGCACUGGUCGGCGCGUCCUUCCUUCCGGAGACCGUGCCUACUCUUAACUGAGCGGGGGCGGGAGACGGAUCGUUUACUUUGAAAAAAUCAGAGUGUUUCAAGCAGGCAGCUCGCUCUUGCAUGGAUUAGCAUGGGAUAAUGAAAUAGGACUUUGGUGCUAUUUUGUUGGUUUCGAACACCGAAGUAAUGAUUAACAGGGACAGUCAGGGGCACUCGUAUUCCGCCGAGAGAGGUGAAAUUCUCAGACCAGCGGAAGACGAACUACUGCGAAAGCAUUUGCCGGGGAUGUUUUCACUGA